Molecule: non-coding RNA, 46 nt
Organism: Schistosoma mansoni
Lineage: Eukaryota; Metazoa; Platyhelminthes; Trematoda; Strigeidida; Schistosomatidae
Source: Rfam
GCACUUCUGAGGAGCCCCAUAAUAGGACGAAACGGCCGUUCAGUGC